GAUGAACGCUGGCGGCGUGCCUAAUACAUGCAAGUCGAGCGAACGGACGAGAAGCUUGCUUUUCUGAUGUUAGCGGCGGACGGGUGAGUAACACGUGGAUAACCUACCUAUAAGACUGGGAUAACUUCGGGAAACCGGAGCUAAUACCGGAUAAUAUUUUGAACCGCAUGGUUCAAAAGUGAAAGACGGUCUUGCUGUCACUUAUAGAUGGAUCCGCGCUGCAUUAGCUAGUUGGUAAGGUAACGGCUUACCAAGGCGACGAUGCAUAGCCGACCUGAGAGGGUGAUCGGCCACACUGGAACUGAGACACGGUCCAGACUCCUACGGGAGGCAGCAGUAGGGAAUCUUCGGCAAUGGGCGAAAGCCUGACGGAGCAACGCCGCGUGAGUGAUGAAGGUCUUCGGAUCGUAAAACUCUGUUAUUAGGGAAGAACAUAUGUGUAAGUAACUGUGCACAUCUUGACGGUACCUAAUCAGAAAGCCACGGCUAACUACGUG
RNAcentral lists this ribosomal RNA (497 nucleotides) under uncultured bacterium. Its description in RNAcentral is "partial 16S ribosomal RNA". It matches the Rfam family "Bacterial small subunit ribosomal RNA", at positions 28 to 507 of the family's 1533-position model. The record is from RNAcentral.